CCUACGGGAGGCAGCAGUGAGGAAUAUUGGUCAAUGGGCGCGAGCCUGAACCAGCCAAGUCGCGUGAGGGAGGACGGCCCUACGUGUUGUAAACCUCUUUUGCCGGGGAGCAACGGGUGCCACGUGUGGCGUCACUGAGAGUACCCGGAGAAAAAGCAUCGGCCAACUCCGUGCCAGCAGCCGCGGUAUUACGGGGGAUGCGAGGGUGAUCCGGAUUCAUUGGGUUUAAAGGGUGCGUAGGCGGAUCGUUAAGUUAGUGGUCAAAGUGAGGGGCUCAACCCCUGCCCGCCAUUGAAACUGGCGGUCUUGAGUGGAAGAGAAGUAUGCGGAAUGCGUGGUGUAGCGGUGAAAUGCAUAGAUA
RNAcentral lists this ribosomal RNA (361 nucleotides) under uncultured bacterium. RNAcentral describes it as "partial 16S ribosomal RNA". It matches the Rfam family "Bacterial small subunit ribosomal RNA", at positions 338 to 696 of the family's 1533-position model. The record is from RNAcentral.